AGGGCGGACCAACCCUUUCCCAUUUCCCACUCAAAGGAGGCGGCUCAAGUGGGCAAGGCGUUGAACACAAACGCCAGCACCCCCAUGUGUGGCGCGUGCUGGGGGCCGAUGACCAGACGCAGGCAGCUCCAGACGCCACCUCCUGCCACUGCUCUAGCCCGGGCCCACCCCGCAGCCCAGUCCCGGCUACUUUAGGCCUGGGGUGAGGUAAUGAGACAGAGCAUAGAUGAAGACGGGGCUGGGAGAAAGAGCUGUGGAAACCAGGAAAACAGGGGAAUUACUCAAGUGCAAGAUUAAAGGCAAUAAUGAGCAAUCAGACCGAACUGGAAUGACAGUAGGGGAAGGUGAAGAGACUUUGGGAAAAGGAAGAGCACUGAAGUCAGACCUGGCACAGCCUUUUACGAGCUAUGUAAUCUCAGACAGAGAAACUGAGGCCAAAUCCCCACUUCAUACUUCAAGGUACAGGACUACCAAAUACCCUGUGUGCCUUCUUGCUCACGCUCAGCCUCCACCAGGAGUGCCAUCCUAAGACCCUUCCUGUUGGCCUAACUCAUCCUUUAACCAGGUAAAGUCUGUCCACACAAGGGAAUAAUAUUCAGCUAUAAAAGGGAAUGAAGUACUAAUACAUGCUACAUGCUACCAUGUGGAUUAACCUGGAAAACAUUAUGUUAAGCGAAGGAAGCCAGAUUCAAAAGGUCACGCAUUCUAUCAUUCCAUUUGUAUGAAAUAUCCAGAAUAGGUACAUCCAUAGAGACAGGAUGCAAAUUGGUGGUUGCCAGGGGCUGGGGUAAGGGGAAAUGGCGACAACUGUGUAAUGGGUAUGGGUUUUGUUUCGGGAUGGUGCAAAUGUUUGGGGACUAGACAGAGGUGGUUGUUGCACAGC
Pan troglodytes (chimpanzee) is the source of this 883-nucleotide long non-coding RNA. RefSeq lists it as uncharacterized. The record is from RefSeq and is a predicted model, not a curated record. The transcript has 3 exons. Lineage: Eukaryota; Metazoa; Chordata; Mammalia; Primates; Hominidae.